GUAGGUGGCAAGCGUUGUCCGGAAUUAUUGGGCGUAAAGCGCGCGCAGGCGGUUCUUUAAGUCUGAUGUGAAAGCCCACGGCUCAACCGUGGAGGGUCAUUGGAAACUGGAGAACUUGAGUACAGAAGAGGAAAGCGGAGUUCCACGUGUAGCGGUGAAAUGCGUAGAGAUGUGGAGGAACACCAGUGGCGAAGGCGGCUUUCUGGUCUGUAACUGACGCUGAGGCGCGAAAGCGUGGGGAGCAAACAGGAUUAGAUACCCUGGUAGUCCACGCCGUAAACGAUGAGUGCUAAGUGUUAGGGGGUUUCCGCCCCCCUUAGUGCUGCAGCUAACGCAUUAAGCACUCCGCCUGGGAGUACGGCCGCAAGGCUG
RNAcentral lists this ribosomal RNA (372 nucleotides) under uncultured organism. RNAcentral's name for it is "partial 16S ribosomal RNA". It matches the Rfam family "Bacterial small subunit ribosomal RNA", at positions 527 to 896 of the family's 1533-position model. The record is from RNAcentral.